RNAcentral lists this long non-coding RNA (566 nucleotides) under Rattus norvegicus (Norway rat). Its description in RNAcentral is "long non-coding RNA NONRATT010165". Lineage: Eukaryota; Metazoa; Chordata; Mammalia; Rodentia; Muridae. The record is from RNAcentral.
CACUGAAAUUAUGACAGUCCUAUCUGAGCAACAUGCUACACCUUUUUAUAACCUGACCAUUAGUUUUAAAGGAUGUCCUUGUGAGGAUCGCAGAGCAGUCUGGAGAGCUGGAGAGCCGUGCAGAUCACCUCUAUGACUCUAUCUUAGCGUCUUUGGACAAGCUGGCUGGCUGCACCCUCAUCCCUGACAACAAGCCAAGAGCAGCAGCAGAACACCUGCACGAAGGGCCUUGACUCAGCAGAGGUGGCGUCAUCAGCUAAUUGGCCGUUGGGAAGAAAACUCAAGAACUCCUUGCAAGGGCCAUUUAAUAGUUAAGGAAGGGGAGAGAUUCAACUUUACCGUACUUUAAGAUGCCUUUCUCACCUCUGAAGGGUUGAGUUAUUACUGUUUUCAUUUACUAUGAAUCCUCCAAACUAAGACCUUAUCUUUUGGUGCCUCUCUACCAAAAAUAUGUGGCUUUAUAACUAUUUGGUAAAACACUUCGACUUGUGGGUCUCCUGCACCCCACCCCUCUGUUUAAAAACCAGCAGACAAAUGUGUUGAAGCCAUCUACAGAAAGCGGUCGC